Molecule: transfer RNA, 74 nt
Filed under: Scopelarchoides danae
Lineage: Eukaryota; Metazoa; Chordata; Actinopteri; Aulopiformes; Scopelarchidae
Also listed under: 1 other name
Description: tRNA-Leu
Rfam family: tRNA
About the family: Transfer RNA (tRNA) molecules are approximately 80 nucleotides in length.
Source: RNAcentral
GUUGGAGUGGCAGAGCCCGGUAAUUGCUAAAGAGCUAAGUCCUUUCCACAGAGGUUCAAGUCCUCUCUUCAACU